RNAcentral lists this non-coding RNA (44 nucleotides) under Trichobilharzia regenti. The record is from RNAcentral. Lineage: Eukaryota; Metazoa; Platyhelminthes; Trematoda; Strigeidida; Schistosomatidae.
AUUAAGCUGACGAGUCCCAAACGGGAUGAAAUGCGCAUUCUAAU